CCUACGGGGGGCAGCAGUGAGGAAUAUUGGUCAAUGGACGCGAGUCUGAACCAGCCAUGCCGCGUGCAGGAAGAAGGCUCUGUGAGUUGUAAACUGCUUUUGUCCGGGGAUAAACGCAGAUACGCGUAUCUGGCUGAAAGUAUCGUACGAAUAAGGAUCGGCUAACUCCGUGCCAGCAGCCGCGGUAAUACGGAGGAUUCAAGCGUUAUCCGGAUUUAUUGGGUUUAAAGGGUGCGUAGGCGGUCGGAUAAGUUAGAGGUGAAAUCCCGAGGCUCAACUUCGGAACUGCCUCUGAUACUGUUAGGCUAGAGAGUAGGUGCGGUAGGCGGAAUGUAUGGUGUAGCGGUGAAAUGCUUAGAGAUCAUACAGAACACCGAUUGCGAAGGCAGCUUACCAGGCUACUUCUGACGUUGAGGCACGAAAGCGUGGGGAGCGAACAGGAUUAGAUACCCCUGUAGUC
This 460-nucleotide ribosomal RNA is filed under the name uncultured bacterium. RNAcentral's name for it is "partial 16S ribosomal RNA". It matches the Rfam family "Bacterial small subunit ribosomal RNA", at positions 338 to 795 of the family's 1533-position model. The record is from RNAcentral.